Molecule: ribosomal RNA, 1019 nt
Filed under: Acinetobacter baumannii
Lineage: Bacteria; Pseudomonadati; Pseudomonadota; Gammaproteobacteria; Moraxellales; Moraxellaceae
Description: partial 23S ribosomal RNA
Rfam family: Bacterial large subunit ribosomal RNA
Source: RNAcentral
UCGAAGCCCCAGUAAACGGCGGCCGUAACUAUAACGGUCCUAAGGUAGCGAAAUUCCUUGUCGGGUAAGUUCCGACCUGCACGAAUGGCAUAAUGAUGGCGGCGCUGUCUCCAGCAGAGGCUCAGUGAAAUCGAAAUCGCUGUGAAGAUGCAGUGUACCCGCGGCUAGACGGAAAGACCCCGUGAACCUUUACUGCAGCUUGACACUGAACUUUGACCUUACUUGUGUAGGAUAGGUGGGAGGCUUUGAAGCUGGAACGCUAGUUCCAGUGGAGCCGUCCUUGAAAUACCACCCUGGUAAUGUUGAGGUUCUAACUCUGUCCCGUGAUCCGGGACGAGGACCGUGUCUGGUGGGUAGUUUGACUGGGGCGGUCUCCUCCUAAAGAGUAACGGAGGAGUACGAAGGUGCGCUCAGCGUGGUCGGAAAUCACGCGUAGAGUAUAAAGGCAAAAGCGCGCUUAACUGCGAGACCCACAAGUCGAGCAGGUACGAAAGUAGGUCUUAGUGAUCCGGUGGUUCUGUAUGGAAGGGCCAUCGCUCAACGGAUAAAAGGUACUCUGGGGAUAACAGGCUGAUACCGCCCAAGAGUUCAUAUCGACGGCGGUGUUUGGCACCUCGAUGUCGGCUCAUCUCAUCCUGGGGCUGAAGCAGGUCCCAAGGGUAUGGCUGUUCGCCAUUUAAAGAGGUACGCGAGCUGGGUUUAGAACGUCGUGAGACAGUUCGGUCCCUAUCUACCGUGGGCGCUGGAAAUUUGAGAGGAUCUGCUCCUAGUACGAGAGGACCAGAGUGGACGAACCUCUGGUGUACCGGUUGUGACGCCAGUCGCAUCGCCGGGUAGCUAUGUUCGGAAGGGAUAACCGCUGAAAGCAUCUAAGCGGGAAGCCUACCUCAAGAUAAGAUUUCCCUAGGACUUUAUGUCCUCUAAAGAGCCGUUCGAGACUAGGACGUUGAUAGGUUGGAUGUGGAAGCAUAGUGAUAUGUGAAGCUGACCAAUACUAAUUGCUCGUGAGGCUUGACUAU